Rhodanobacter sp. is the source of this 355-nucleotide non-coding RNA. NCBI's taxonomy places the organism in Bacteria, Pseudomonadati, Pseudomonadota, Gammaproteobacteria, Lysobacterales, Rhodanobacteraceae. The record is from Rfam.
GGGGGUGUUCUGGCUUCGACGGGGGUAGUGAGAUGGCUUGGUGCAUGCCGAGGGGGCAGCUUUCCUCGUUAAUCCAGCAGCAAAACUCAUAAUUGCCAACGAUAGCAAUUACGCUCUCGCCGCUUAAGGCGUAGCCCCGAACCCACUUGUGCUCGUGCUUGUCGGUGUAGGGUCAUUAUCACGGGAUCGUCCGAACGCCGCCGCCUGUCGGUGCAGGACUAAAUCAAGCAGGCUGGUCCUUCGGCGCGCUUCGCACACCGUGCUGCCGCGGGACGAGAUCCAACGGUGAGCUAAGCAUGUAGUACCGGGCGUCAAGCGCCUUCGGACGCGGGUUCGACUCCCGCCACCUCCACCA